GAUGAACGCUGGCGGCGUGCCUAAUACAUGCAAGUCGAGCGAACAGACGAGGAGCUUGCUCCUCUGACGUUAGCGGCGGACGGGUGAGUAACACGUGGAUAACCUACCUAUAAGACUGGGAUAACUUCGGGAAACCGGAGCUAAUACCGGAUAAUAUAUUGAACCGCAUGGUUCAAUAGUGAAAGACGGUUUUGCUGUCACUUAUAGAUGGAUCCGCGCCGCAUUAGCUAGUUGGUAAGGUAACGGCUUACCAAGGCAACGAUGCGUAGCCGACCUGAGAGGGUGAUCGGCCACACUGGAACUGAGACACGGUCCAGACUCCCACGGGAGGCAGCAGUAGGGAAUCUUCCGCAAUGGGCGAAAGCCUGACGGAGCAACGCCGCGUGAGUGAUGAAGGUCUUCGGAUCGUAAAACUCUGUUAUUAGGGAAGAACAAAUGUGUAAGUAACUAUGCACGUCUUGACGGUACCUAAUCAGAAAGCCACGGCUAACUACGUG
This 497-nucleotide ribosomal RNA is filed under the name uncultured bacterium. RNAcentral describes it as "partial 16S ribosomal RNA". It matches the Rfam family "Bacterial small subunit ribosomal RNA", at positions 28 to 507 of the family's 1533-position model. The record is from RNAcentral.